RNAcentral lists this ribosomal RNA (887 nucleotides) under Globorotalia truncatulinoides. RNAcentral's name for it is "bacterial SSU rRNA". It matches the Rfam family "Eukaryotic small subunit ribosomal RNA", at positions 1288 to 1788 of the family's 1831-position model. The record is from RNAcentral. Lineage: Eukaryota; Foraminifera; Rotaliida; Globorotaliidae.
CCAUUCUUCAUACGUAUGAAUAGCGUCUUAACUAUCUUUUACCGCUACCUAUUUGUAGUAAGCGCUCAUACUAUUGGGACCGGAAUGCAACGAGCGCGACUGCACCACCUAAUUGCCCCUUAUCUACCAUUAAUUACUUUAUUAACCGCCCUGUACGGGCACCGGGGCCUUACCUUUACUGAAACUAGCUGGACCGCUGCUUUCCUUUAAGCCAGAGGAAGGUUGCGGCAAUAACAGGUCUGUGAUGCCCUCAGAUGUUCCGGGCCGCACACGUGCUACAAUGAUCAGCACAAAGAGUAUUACCUAUCUUCUUAUACCUAACCCAAUAUGUUAAACUUAUUGCGUAAGGGUAUUGUCUUAACGACUUAUCCGCUUUAGCGCUUUAAGAUUAUUGGACGGUUAUGCCUGCCUCGAGAGAGUGUACAGGGCAGCAAGAGUAAUGAUUCCCUCGUUUUUACUACUAAUACCGCGCUUGGUAACAUAUUACACUCGAUUAAGUAGGGUCUUUGCUUCUAAUAGCAAUUGCUAUCCUCACCCUUAGGCUCUAAGGAUAUUACUAUCUGUAAGGUCUACAGGGAGGUGUAUAUGGCGUACUUACUUAUUCACGGUGGGGACAGACCAUUGUUAACUGUUGGUCUCGGUCUCAACUAGGAAUGCCUCGUACGGGUUGGUUCACCAAACCACCCGGAAUAUGUCCCUGCCCUUUGUACACACCGCCCGUCGCUCUUAUCGAUGAACUCACUUGUGAGGCUGAGGGACUGCGUCUAUUUAUACCCGUGAAAUCCUAAUAUCUCACAUACAUUUCGCUAAAGGCGAUUUUGCUUUAAGGAUUUACACGACCUUACGCACAAACUUAUUCGACCAAGUGGGUUUAAAGGAAAGAGAAG